GUCCCGAACCCAAAUUCACCCGUUUACUAGUCAUUUGGACGGUAAACGACCUUUACUUUCACUUUUACUUUCGGUUUAGUACUUUUAGUGGCCCUAAAAAUUGACUUUUUGUUCGGGUCAAAAUUUGAGAAAAUGUUCUUCAUGAAAGUUGUAGGGGACGUUAAACCGAGCGCGUACAUAUGUGGUACGUAAAAAUCGGAGCUCGUAUGCAAAAGUUAUAAGCGAAAAUGUGAAAGUUACUGUUCACGGUAAGUAGUAUAUAUUUGAAUUUUUCACUGUGGCCGGUAAGUUUUCAUUUUCUUCUUCUCUCUCUCCUUUCUCCCGCAUUUUUUCUCUCUCCUCGGCACUCUCUGCAACUCCGGCCACCUCACGAUUCCGGCCACCUGGGGACGAACGAGUGGCACCGUUGGACUCCUCUACUCCUACCCAACCUCCCCACGGCGGUAACUCACGGCGGCUUGGCCGGAAAACGAAGCAUCGGGUCCUUGAAGUUUCACUGUAGCAAAUUGGUCAACGCCGGUUUCUCCCGAUUCCGGCCACCUCCGGCGACGAACCAUAAUCAUUUGGAAGCGCCUUGCGAUGUAGAUGAUGCUCCCCAAAUAUUUUGCAGCGAUUUGAAGCGUGGAGGAAGAAUUGAAGGGCAAUGUUGCGAGCUACGGCUAGAUGAAGGGACUCGUUUGCGUGGUCGCCAACUAGUACUUUUGCAGGCGCUAUUAGUUGAGGUCGGGCAUACAUGGUUCGAGGCAUAGUUGAUGAAUAGCUUCCGCACUUCUUUGUUUGGCUCUGAUCUAUCGUAGCUUACUGUUUUGGGUAGUCCAUUUUAGGGGUGACUCGACCAGUUCUCGGUAGGGUUAUCUCUAAGGUGGGCCCCGCAGGGCCA
Molecule: long non-coding RNA, 880 nt
Organism: Rosa rugosa (rugosa rose)
Lineage: Eukaryota; Viridiplantae; Streptophyta; Magnoliopsida; Rosales; Rosaceae
Exons: 3
Source: RefSeq, a predicted model, not a curated record